This is a long non-coding RNA of Ornithorhynchus anatinus (platypus), 522 nucleotides long. RefSeq lists it as uncharacterized. The transcript is spliced from 3 exons. Lineage: Eukaryota; Metazoa; Chordata; Mammalia; Monotremata; Ornithorhynchidae. The record is from RefSeq and is a predicted model, not a curated record.
GCCCCGGGCCCCCCCGCCCCACCGCCUGGACCAGGACUCCUGCUUCUACAGUAGCCGGAGGACGCUGUUUCCUCCUCCUCCGUCUCCGGGCAGCCUGAGCCUCCAGGAUUACUGGCUGAGCCCACAGCGCCGUUACCUGGCCGGCUCAGCCUGGCGCUGGCCCACCCGCCGCCUGCUCCUGCUCCCGCCUUCCACCGGCCUGGCCGACUUCGAGUCGGCCACCCGUGCCAGUUGCUGCGGCUACCGGCCCAACCUCAUGUGGAAAUACCACUGGCAGAACCUCAACCACCGUUUCUUGGGCAAAAGGAUGCGCCACCUGAUACCACUGUACCUGUGACCAGCCAGGGGCUUUGGUGGAUGGAUCCCAGAAGAACCCAUGACAAUCCCAUGAUCAUCCGAUGACGAUCCCAUGAUGAUCCUGAACCUUGCUCUUCGGGGAUGGGGUUUGCUACCUUGACCCACACUGAGCUCUGUGUCUCCCCCUUCCCCUGCUCCACCACACAAAUAAAGCAGCUUUGAUGA